This 469-nucleotide ribosomal RNA is filed under the name uncultured bacterium. RNAcentral describes it as "partial 16S ribosomal RNA". It matches the Rfam family "Bacterial small subunit ribosomal RNA", at positions 28 to 507 of the family's 1533-position model. The record is from RNAcentral.
GACGAACGCUGGCGGCGUGCUUAACACAUGCAAGUCGAACGGAAAGGCCCUGCUUGCAGGGUGCUCGAGUGGCGAUCGGGUGAGUAACACGUGGGUGAUCUGCCCCUUACUUUGGGAUAAGCCUGGGAAACUGGGUCUAAUACUGGAUAGGACCAUGCUGUAGGUGGUGUGGUGGAAAGAUUAGUUUCGGUAAGGGAUGAGCUCGCGGCCUAUCAGCUUGUUGGUGGGGUAAUGGCCUACCAAGGCGUCGACGGGUAGCCGGCCUGAGAGGGUGGACGGCCACAUUGGGACUGAGAUACGGCCCAGACUCCUACGGGAGGCAGCAGUGGGGAAUAUUGCACAAUGGGCGCAAGCCUGAUGCAGCGACGCCGCGUGGGGGAUGACGGCCUUCGGGUUGUAAACUCCUUUCAGCCAUGACGAAGCCCUUGUGGUGACGGUAGUGGUAGAAGAAGCACCGGCUAACUACGUG